Molecule: ribosomal RNA, 425 nt
Filed under: uncultured bacterium
Lineage: Bacteria
Description: partial 16S ribosomal RNA
Rfam family: Bacterial small subunit ribosomal RNA
Source: RNAcentral
GUGGGGAAUAUUGGACAAUGGGCGCAAGCCUGAUCCAGCCAUGCCGCGUGAGUGAUGAAGGCCUUCGGGUUGUAAAGCUCUUUAGUCCACGAAUAUAAUGACUGUAGUGGAAGAAUAAGCCCCGGCUAACUUCGUGCCAGCAGCCGCGGUAAUACGAAGGGGGCGAGCGUUAUUCGGAAUCACUGGGCGUAAAGCGUGCGUAGGCUGUUUUGUAAGUCAGAAGUGAAAGACCAGGGCUUAACCCUGGAAUUGCUUUUGAAACUACAAGACUCGAAUUCGGGAGAGGAUAGCGGAAUUGUCAGUGUAGCAGUGAAAUGCGUAGAUAUUGACAGGAACACCAGUGGCGCAAGCGGCUAUCUGGACCGAUAUUGACGCUGAGGCACGAAAGCGUGGGGAGCAAACAGGAUUAGAUACCCCAGUAGUCC